GACUACAAAUAGCUGAGUUGGUAGAGCAUAAGGCUCUUAAUCCCAGGGUCACGGGUUCGAACCCGUGUUGGGCA
This is a non-coding RNA of Podarcis lilfordi (Lilford's wall lizard), 74 nucleotides long. The record is from the annotation of a GenBank genome assembly. Lineage: Eukaryota; Metazoa; Chordata; Lepidosauria; Squamata; Lacertidae.